GCAGAGUGAUCAGUGUGGGUCGGGAGCAGCGGAGAUCAUCGACUGCAUAGAUCCAAUCAGGCCUAUUACCGGGUUCAACAAGAAGCGGCAGCUGGGUUCGCAGUUGGCGACGAGCUUGCCGGUGGCGCUGUCGUAGGUCUCCAUGGUCUCCACCAGGAAGUCUGGCUCGGGGUUUUCGAUGAGCGGGUCAACGCAGCAGGUCGGCUGCCAGAACCACCCUGGCUGGCAGCGAGUCCCCGGCCACUGCAGGAGUCACGAUCCGUUAGACUUCAUUAACAGUUUACCGUACAAGAAAGGCUUUCUGUAAAGCCGAGAGAGAGAGAGAGAGAGAGGAAUAGGUACUAUGAGAGACAGGAUCAUGUAGUCGUAUGAAGCAGCUGCUAGCGCACAAGAGGCGGCGCACAAGAGGAAGCAGAACGUGGGAAGAGCCUUUGAGCCAGCCAUUCUGCAGAGGUGGAGAGGAUGAUCGGGGGAGAGACGCUUCGUGAGGUGAUGAGUCUGAUGGCUCUAUAUAAGCACUACAUUGAAGACACACCCACCUACUGAUAAUUGUUGGACUAAUAAUGCACCGCGAUUGCUGUUAGGGGGGUCUUAAAAUAAUGCACUUCGCAUAAAAUGUCGUACACCAACAUGAAACAUGAGGGACAUUCCCGCAUAUCGCAAGCAUAGUGGGUUGCAAAAUGCAAGGAAAGAAAGUAAGGAAUUUAUUUGAUUAUGGUCUCUCAUAGCUAUAAGAUUAUGGUCUCUCGUAGCUAUAUGGACUAUGUGACAUCGUCAAACCACGAUGUCACCUCCACCCUCCACCCCACCAGCCACUGGACCCUUUCCAUACAUUACAAUCAUUAAUCUUGAUGGAGGUGAACGAGAGAUAAUCAUAAGUAUUUUUCCUCUCUUCUCUUUUGUAUGACUCAUCGUAUUAGAUAUUAUCGUACGCUUCACGCACAUAUUGUUUUACUCACCUGAUCGAGCAACGAUAAUAGUGUGAUAGAAGCGAGCAAGGGAUACUCCUUCGACUAAGGGGCUUGAAAUCUAAGAGAUAGAAAAGGGAUUGAGGAUAAAGACACGAGCAAGAGAUAAUAUAAUUUUAUGACGAAUAAGAGUUAAAGAGUAAGAUGAGAAUGACUAUAUGAUGCGAAUAAAACAAAAAAGUGACAUUAGUAGAAUAAAAAGUAAAAAANNNNNNNNNNNNNNNNNNNNNNNNNNNNNNNNNNNNNNNNNNNNNNNNNNNNNNNNNNNNNNNNNNNNNNNNNNNNNNNNNNNNNNNNNNNNNNNNNNNNCGUGUUAUUAUCUAUCGGCAAACAAUUGACUUGAUAAUUGAUAAGGCAUAUAUUUAGGAUCUCGGCCACGUCGCGAUCCACGCCACGUCACACUCCUGCAGAUUCAACACAAGGGUUGCCUUCCUUCCACGUCGAGUUGGAGCUCGUAUAGGGAGGCACCCUCUCAACAAGUCCCUUCCCAGAAAGCUUGGGACGUUGUCCCAUGGCGUCGUUCCGCGCAUACCGGGUGACGAUUACACGAAGGUACGAUCUUGGGGGUAUCGAUCGUCAAGUCAAAUCCGCGUAUAAUCGAUCCUCGGACAAUAGUAUAAAAUCCCUUGACCGGCAUCUGGCUAGGAGACAAAGAACAGAAGAAAAAAAUCACUGACUUAGUCUACGAUGGGCCAAAGUCGGGAAUCUCCAGACCAGGGCGUGUGUGCAGGAACGUGGCCACCCCCGAACUAGCUCAAUCCCUCAUUGGAGAUGCGACCAUCCUGGCCGUUGAUCCAGACGCGACCAUCCCGACCCCUGAUCCAACUCGGCCUCGAUGCUUCUUCCAAUCGAUCGAGAGGCGCACUCCCGAACGUCGAAAACUCUGGACAUCGACAUGUGAACCAAAACGUGCCGACUCCUCGACCACGGCACGUAAGUUCACCAACAAAAAUAACGACGCAUUGUUGAAACAUUGAUUAUAAUCAAAGAAGAACGUUCUCAAAAUUAUUUUAAAAAAUAUUUUAUUUCUACCUAAUUAGUCAAUUAUUUAAAAUUUUUUUGAUGAUCAAUUCAUUUUCACUAACUCAGUAAAAUAUAAUAUUUGAAGAAAAUUAUACUGAAGAUAGAAUGUAAUAAAUGUAAUUAUAUAUAUAUAAUUAAUAUUUUUAAAAUAUAUUAAAUCGGAUAAUUUUACGGAAUAAGGUUUUGAGUCGUUCGAUGUAUGACUCUGUUAUAUCAAUAUAAGAUGAUAUUUUAGAUAUUAAAAAUAUAUACGAGACAACAUUUUGGUGCAGUUAUAUAUGUUUAAGAAAGACCACUUUUAUUACUGCAGGUGUGAAGAAGAUGCGACUCUACAACUCGGGAGUAAAAGACGAAGCGACAGCUCACAUCACCAUAAGUGCAAGCAUGUGGAUCACGCCAAGCAGAAGAAGACAGGCUUAAAGCAGUUCCUCCAUCACAGUGCCAUCUCGUCGCCGGAGGGCAACUCGAUCACUGUCUUGGAAACGGCGUCGUCUUCACGGCCUUGCAGUGGGUACGACACAGGGGGGAACUUGACCGUGUCGCCGCAGUUACUCUCCCUGCCGUUGGGGCAGCCGAUGAUCGACCUCCCGUCGCUGGAGACGCAGACGCGGAUCUGGUAGAGGUAGUCUUCGUAGAAGAAAGGCCAGAGAAUGUAAUUCCUGGUGCACACCACCGUGAACGAGAACCCGAUCCUGGGCACCAACGCGUCGUUGAUGUCGUCCAGGCUGUAGCUCUUCGUCGCGUGCGGUAUGAUCCCACUCGAGCCCAGGUUGACGAGGGGGUCCACCUUCUUCCUGAGUUGAAGCGCCCGGUCGAAGUAGAGCGACUGGUUGAGGCUGGAGCAAGUGCCGUAGGUGCACCACACGUCCUUCCAGUGGGGCAUCCCGCUGUUGCUGGGACAGGUCAGGUUGGCGUAGUACGUGUACAAGUUGUCGAGCAUGUUCACCAGCUGUCCAAACAAGACAAAGCGGUCAUCAUCGACAUCUCGGCCGAGUUAGCUCGGGUGGAGGAGGCUAACGAGACUCACCGGAAGUAUCUUGAAGACGCAGCUUCUGCUGCAGCCGGUGACCGGUUUACCGGUGGCGCUGUCGUAGGUUUCCAGGGCUUGGACGAGGAAGUCCGCCGCCGGCUCGCCAUUCGUCGGCAUACAGCACUUCCCUGUCGGUUGCGAGCUAGCACAGUAGCUUCCUGGCCACUGCAGUGAGAAGGACAUCAUACCAUCACCCAUCUUGCCAUCGAUGGUUACCACUACUGCAGGAAACCAGAACCAAGUAGAGGGUAACUAUACCAUAAGUUUCAAGAUCAGGUAGUCGGGCUUCGAAGCUGCCCUUGCCGCCGGAGAGGAAGACAAGCAUAACAGCAAGACAAGCAAGCAGAUCCCAGGAAGAGCCUUGAGGAUAGCCAUUCUGCAGGAGCUGUCGAGUUGCCUUGGUGAUGGUGGAUAAUAUAAGCCCAUCGUGGAACACACUGGUUGUGGCCUGGUGGUGGCGGGAUCCAUGGCAGCUCUAUCAAGAAAUGGCUGUCCUCGUCUCAGCCAUCAGCCUCUCCCCACGAGUUUCACGUGGCUUGCAGAUCUCAUCGCUUUCGAGAAAUGGUCGCCGUGCUGUUCACCACCAAUUUAAUGAUGACAUUAAAAUAAUGGCACAGUACAAGAUCAGAUGAUGUUCCAUGUGACUGACUUCUUUUAUUUGGACUCUCUCUCUCUCUCAUGAUUCGGGAACGGACAAGGAGAUGGAAGCAUUGAUUACAGUCGAGCCACCCAAACAACACCCCACUCCUCGCCAUCAAAUGUUCUUAUCUUCACAGACCGAACAUCAUUGAAGGGACUAAUAAGAAGAAGAUGGAUAGCAACCUGAUCGAAACAAGAACAAUGUUGAGAUGGGGAGGGGUUACGAACCGGUUCUGAGAAAGAUUUCUAGAUGUGAUUUCCUCUAAAGAAAUCAUGCAUUAAUUUGUUCUUGACCAAGUACAACAUGACUCGGAGAUUGGUAGACAAGAAAAAUGUAUUCAGAUCGUUCAUAAUUUCAUUUAAGAAAACCGAUCUAGAAGGAUUUUUUUUUGCGACAAUUAGGGAUUGAAAAUAGUCACGAUUAAGCCACUAAGUAGGGGUGAUGGUAAUUUCAGAACGGUCAAUUUUGAUUUCCGAAAUCAGCAACCGAGAAAAUAAAGAGUUAAAAAUAAUUAUAAUGAAUAUCAAAGUCUUUCCUCCAAUUACUAUAUGUUAGGAUAAAAAAUAUCGUUGAUGCGUGUAUUAGCAUGAUGUGAUCCUGAUCCGCAUACGAGGAGUCGAUAGAACAAGAUUUCUUCGAUCUCGUUCAUAUACAAAGACUAAGAUUGAAAGGGAUUUUCCGAGUUGAUUUAUCUAAUGCUUAACUUAGCACUUAGUUGCAUACAAAGACUUAUUUUUUUUUUAAUGAAGAUCCUAUAGAGAAAAAGUUCGAACUCAACUAUCUUUUUUAUUUUUAUGAUAUAUUUUUGUGAAUAUUUUUAUAGGAAAACUAGUUUAUAAUCAACUCAAACUACCUUUUAAUAUUCCUGAAAUAUUCCUACAAAUAUUUUGUAAGAAAGUCUGAAUUGUCUUAUGGGAAUAAUUCACGAUUAGCUAGUUUUUAAUUGAUCUGAAUUAUCUUCAAUUUUUUAUGAAUAUUUAAAUAUUUCAUCGAGGAGGUAGCUUAACAAAUCGGUAAUUGACCCGAGCUAUCUUUUGAGUUCGAAUAGAAAAUAUUGGCUUAAUAUGACAUUGACGUUACGAACGAUGACUAACCAAUUUAAUAUUUUCUUUCGCUAUGUGUAGUCAAACACUAUGUGAGUUGUGUUCAAACCACAAACUCUACGUAGCUAAAGAAAAAAAAAAAGGUAAGAUUAUUUUGUAUGAUCUAUAUUGAUCAAACGAUAAACAAGAAAAAAAUAGAAAAAGGUAAGAUAAGAUUAUUUUUUAUGGUCUCAUCGAAUAAAGUUUAUGUCGUCGAAACAAUUUCUAUGGUUACAAGAAUAGUGGAAGUCUCGUCAAGAGGAAACAAAAGAAUAUGGAAUAUGUGGAUCUCCUUUUUCCACGAAGGAGAGAUGGCAGAAGAAUUUUGUGUUCGAAUCCCAUCAUUUAUUUUGUAUCAAAAAAAGACACUAAUUCAACGAAAAGCUGAACACAAAUGAUGGAGAGAUGGAGUUUAGAUAUCAAACGUAUGGGAAUUUUACCUUCAUUAAGUAAAAUCCCAACUUGUUCAUGACAGGUAAUAUGCUCUGUUGUUAUUUGAUUAAUCUUAGAGACAGAGAUCAUAAAACAACAUCUUAUUCCAGUAGAUCGCAAGACGAUGAUGACAUCCUACACACAGGCAAUUCAUCAUGUUUGAGUGCCAAGAUGAUGAUGAUGACAUCCGCAUGACAAGAGGGCAGUAAUCCGUGGAUCGAUCACUGAGUCAUCGCCUUGUCCGAUGGCAACUUGAUGUGGUCGACCGCCGGAUGGCGCGGGCGCCCGAGCAUGUCGUCCGUGAACGGGUAGAACUUGACCUUGCUGCCGCAGUUGCUCUUCCUGGCGAAGGGACAACCGAUGAGAGACUUGCCGUCGGCGGAGACGCAGAUGCGGACUCUGGAGAGCAGGUAUUCCCGACUCAGCACGCCCAUCUCCGUGGUGCACUCCACCACCGCCGAGAACCCGAUCUUGGGCACCAGCGCGUCCUCGAUGUCCUCCAAACUGUAGCUCUUCGUCUCCGACGGGAUGAUGGCUUGAGAUCAGGAACAGAUCCAUGCGUUAGCUGCAGACACUUGUAAGCUCGAGGUCGGCGUGCAGGGCAGGGCUGCUUACCUUUGGAGCCGAGAGCACGGAGGAUGUCCACUCGAGCCCGGAGCUGAAGCGCCCGGCCGAAGUAAUUCACCUCGCUGAGGCUGGUACAGUUGCCGUAGGUACACCAGGCGGCCUUCCACACCUGCUUCCCGUUCUGGGCUGGGCAGCUCAAGCUGGGCCAGUAGGCGUUCAAGUCGUCCAACAGAUCGACAAGCUGUGGCAUGCGCAGAGUGAUCAGUGUGGGUCGGGAGCAGCGGAGAUCAUCGACUGCAUAGAUCCAAUCUGGCCUAUUACCGGGUUUAUCAAGAAGCGGCAGUUGGGUUCGCACUUGGCGACGAGCUUGCCGGUGGCGCUGUCGUAGGUCUCCAUGGUCUCCACCAGGAAGUCUGGCUCGGGGUUGCCGAUGAGCGGGUCAACGCAGCAGGUCGGCUUCCCGUUCCACCCUGGCUGGCAGCGAGUCCCCGGCCACUGCAGGAGUCACGAUCCAUUAGACUUCAUUAGCAAUUCACAGUAGGACUCAUCGAUUGCACAAGAAGGGCUUUCUGUAAAGCCGAAACAAAAGAGAGAGAGGAAUAGGUACUCUGAGAGACAGGAUCAUGUAGUCGUAUGAAGCAGCUGCUAGCGCACAAGAGGCGGCGCACAAGAGGAAGCAGAACGUGGGAAGAGCCUUUGAGCCGGCCAUUCCGCAGAGGUGGGAAGGAUGAUCGGGGGAGAUGAUGAGUCUGAUGGCUCUAAAUAAGCACGAAGACACACCCACCCACCCACCGAUAAUUGUUGGGCUACAUCGAUAUUGUUCUCGUGAGUAUAAUAUAAUAUAAUAUAAUGCACCUCGAUUGCGGCAUGGGGGUCGUAAAAUAAUGCACUUCGCUUUAAAUUUCGUACACCAACGUGAAACACGUGGGACGUUCCCGCAUCCCGCAAUCGUAGUGGGUUGGAAAGUGCGAGGAAAAAAAGAAGGAUUUUAUUUGAUUAUGGUCUCUCAUAGCAUAUUAUACUCUUCAUCUAAAUUAGGGAUUAAAAGGCUUCGAGACCAAGCAAGUGAAUAAUAAUAAAAUAAUAUAUUAAAAAAUCGAUCAAGAAAAAAUCCGUAAAAUAUUUUAUUCAUCUUUGAACAUGCUUUCGACCAUGCAUUAUUGAAACAUAUUCGUCCAUUUGAAAUAUCAUAUCUUUAAUCGCAUAUUACAUAUCAUAUGAAUUGGAUAUGUGUACUACCAUUAUUUUCCUUAAAUAAUAAUUUAAAUUUAUUAAAUUAAAAUUUAUGCCUGUGGACAUUAUUGUGUGAUCGGAACUGAGAACGAAGACUCGAACAAUGCAAAGGUCCGUAAGGUCUCGCCGAAUCAUCUUCCUUUGUCUUCCCUUUUACGCCAUCGGCGGUACCGAUGCAUUCGAUCCGGAGCUGGGCCUUCUCCGCCCUGAUCCUGGCUGUCACCGUCCUCUUCUUCUUCUUCUUCGACUGGCCGUCUCCUCCUCUUCAAGAAAUAGCCGGAGAUAUUCCUGGAUCCUUGAAUGACAUCGCUGUGACGGUAGGCCAUGGCUUCGAUUUCUUUCUCUCCCCUUCCUCUUCCCUUACCUUCUUUUCCCUUAGGAUAGGACAUAUUUUGGCCUUAUAUGAACCACCGAUAGACGUUGCAGAUCGACACAACACCGUACGCCUCCAAAACCGUGGGGUGCAUGCCACGUCAAGAGCCAACGAUGCAAUUGUGCGGCUUGACCACCUCAAAAGCUGGGGGCGGUGCCGUCUGCUGCUAGGGCAGUGUCGUCUGACGCCCCUCGAGCACCCUCGAAGAUGUCAUCUUGUCAGAGAGGUUGUUCCGCCCCUAGAGUUAACGACCAUAUCGGACCAGGGCCCGACCAAUUACCGCACGCAGGUAUAAAUACCCCCGACCUGAUCCAAAAAAAAGGGAGAAAAGGAUGAGAGAUUUAGAAUGAAUCUAACUUGCUCGUCGGAGGGGCCAAAGUUGGGACUUACCCUACGAGGGUCUUUUUGCAGAGAGGUAGUCGUCGCUGAGACGCGAAUGUCGUCUUCACACGGACGGUGCCCGGUACGCAGAGGAGGGUGGCCCAACGAGUCGGACUCGACAAGUGUCAGCCCGCAUCUCCCAUCUCCAAGAGGCUUCCACACCACAAGGAGGAUCCCCAACCAUCCGAGGGGAUGAGAGGACGCAUCUUCUCAUGAACAAUGCUCAUAUCGGCCAACUUUGGAAAGCCGGCUCACAGCGAGGCUCAGGCCGACCUUGCCACCUCAACCGGCGCUCAACGCGUUUAAGGGGCGCAACCACUCAAACGAUAGUAAUUCCGCCAGAAGUUCCCGACGUCGGCAGGUGGGCCUAGUCAUGCUGACAUAUUAGUCACGACAUGUUUGUUCACUAACAUUUUGGCCCUAGAAGAAGGGCCCAUGUCGCGGGAAUAGCUGGCAAGAACGUGCCCUGGGAGGGAACCCCCGACCGACCUCCCUUUCGCUGAGCCAGAAGGACAACCCCUCUCUACCCCUAUGGACGGAGGGAUACCGAUUUCAACGCUUGAUCGUUACUGGCGCUUGUUCAACGACCCGGGACUAUCCCCCCCGGGGCUCACCCCGGGGGGCCCGGCUGUGAUGCCCGAGGCAUUCCUUAGCCUAACCAAGCAAGUAUAGACCAUGACAGGCAUGAUGCACUCACUCGCCCCGAUCACUCCCCAAAUCGGGCAGCCCUCGAUGCCCUCGACCGAUCCGACCCGGCAACCCCCGAACGGGGAACAGCUCGGGGUUGGGCCAGCCUCGUGGCGAGCAACGGACCCGAGGGGUCCUCCCGUGCAAAAUGCGCCCACAGCUUGCUGAGCCACCCCAUCUCAUCUAGAGCCCGAUACUAUAUCAUCUGACUCGGCGAACGACUCACUCAGAGCUCAGUUGUCCCGGGUCAAUCAGCACCUGGACGAGUUCCAGCGUGAGCUUUGGAGAUUGCGUAGUGAGCCUAGCGAGGGCGCUUUGGUUGGGUCCCUCUUUACCCAAGAAGUACAAGAUAAGCCGGUCCCCCUCAACUUCAGGUUCCCGACAUUAGAAACGUACGAUGGAGGCUCGAUCCCAUGGAGCAUGUCUUUGUAUUCCGGGCCUAGAUGGCCCUCUAUGGUGCCUCCGAUGUGCUGAUGUGCCGAGUGUUUCCGACCACUCUGCGUGGCCCGGCGUGGACAUGGUUCAGCCGGCUGUGUCAAGCUUCAGUCUCGUCCUUCGACCAGGUGGUCGAGGAAUUUGAGCAAAGCUUCCUCACCGGCGCACGGCCCAGGCCCUCCAUGGCCACUUUGCUUGCACUAUCUCAGCACGAGGACGAGUCGCUCUCUCAGUUCGUGGCACGGUUCACACUAAGAUCCGAGGUUUUUCAGAUACUCACCCUUCUCUAAUCUUGCAAGCCUUUAUGAUGGGUCUUAAACCUUUAAGGUUCUUAUGGUCGUUGAUCGAGAAGCCGCCAGCGACCAUCUCUGAGAUGCUUCUACGUGCCAACCAGUACAUUGCCGUCGAGGCUUUAGUGGCGGGGAGGCACGUGGAAGGCAAGAAGCUCAGGAUGGAGCUGUCUCGAGGAACGGCCUCGGCGUUCCCGACGCCUCCCCGCCGGGGGCUCAACCGACAAGAGCUGCUACUCCCAAGACCCCCACCUCUCCCCCUAAACACAUCCCGUUCCGAGAUCUUCCUCUAGAUCAAAGAGACGAGCCUCUUGCAGCAGCCUUGCCCUAUGAAGGCCGCCCACAGAGACCAAUCUAAAUACCGUGGGGAUCCGUCGGCACACCCCGGAGGUGGGGGAGAAGUGAUAGGGCAUAUUUUGGCUCUAGAUGAAUCACCAACAAAUGUCACAAACCAAUAGCCACGAACGCAAUGCCAUGCGCCACCAGAACCACGGGGUGCAUGCCACGUCAAGUUCGGUACUAUGUGAUUGUGCGACUUGACCACCCCAAGAGCUCGGGGCGGUGUCGUCUACUUUUGGGACAGUGCCGUCUGACGCCACUCAAGCACCCCCAAGGAUGCCAUCUCGUCAAAGAAGUUAUCCCACCCCCAUGAAAGUUAGCGGCCACGCCGAACUGAGGCACAACCAACUCUCGCACGCAAGUAUAAAUACCCCCGUCCGAUCCCGAUGAGAGAAGAAAAAAAGGAGGAAGAAAAAACAGGGGAAUCCGAACUAAUCUAACUUGCUUGUCGGUGGGGCCAAAGUCGAGAGACACUCGACGAAGACCGUUUUGCAGGGAGGUGAUCGCCACUGAGCUGCGAGCGUCUCCACCCUGAAGUUGUCACCUAAUGCGCAGAGGAGGGUGGUCCAGUGGUUCGGAUCCCAACCAGCGCCGGCCUGCAUCUCCCAUCUCAAGGGUGUGCCCACGUCGCGGGGAAAGAUUGCCAACUAUCCCGGGGAUGAGAGGACACAUCUCGCCAGAAGCGACGCUCAGGUCGGCUAGCUUUGGAGUGCUAACCCCCAGCCGCUCGCGAGGACCCGACCGACCCUACCGCCUCAACCCUCGCUCGUAACGCUCGAGAGGCGCAACCAUCUCAUCAUCCUACUCAUUCCACUAGAAGUUUCCGACGUCGGUCCGUGGACCAAACUGUGAUGUCUCAUCAGCCAUGGUACUUUUGUUCACUAACAGACAUCAAACAUAUGGGAAUUUUACCUUCAUUAAUUAAAAUCCCAACUUGUUCAUGACCGGUAAUAUGCUAUGUGAUUAUUUGAUUAAUCUUAGAGACAGAGAUCAUAAAACAUCAUCUUAUUCCAGCAUAUGGCAAGACGAUGAUGACAUCCUACACACAGGCAAAUCAUCGUGUUUUAGUGCCAAGAUGAUGAUGAUGAUAUCCGCAUGACAUCGUACACAUAUCGCCUUGUCCGAUGGCAACUUGAUAUGGCCGGCCGCCGGAUGGCGCGGGCGCCCGAGCAUGUCGUCCGUGAACGGGUAGAACUUGACCUUGCUGCCGCAGUUGCUCUUCCUGGCGAAGGGACAACCGAUGAUAGACUUGCCGUCGGCGGAGACGCAGAUGCGGACUCUGGAGAGCAGGUAUUCCCGACUCAGCACGCCCAUCUCCGUGGUGCACUCCACCACCGCCGAGAACCCGAUCUUGGGCACCAGCGCGUCCUCGAUGUCCUCCAAACUGUAGCUCUUCGUCUCCGACGGGAUGAUGGCUUGAGAUCAGGAACCGAUCCAUGCGUUAGCUGCAGACACUUGUAAGCUCGAGGUCGGCAUGCAGGGCAGGGCUGCUUACCUUUGGAGCCGAGGGCAUGGAGGACGUCGGCUCGAGCCCGGAGCUGAAGCGCCCGGCCGAAGUAAUUCACCUCGCUGAGGCUGGUACAGUUGCCGAAGGUACACCAGGCGGCCUUCCACACCUGCUUCCCGUUCUGGGCUGGGCAGCUCAAGCUGGGCCAGUAGGCGUACAAGUCGUCCAACAGAUCGACAAGCUGUGGCAUGAGCAGAGUGAUCAGUGUGGGUCGGGAGCAGCGGAGAUCAUCGACUGCAUACAUCUAAUCUGGCCUAUUACCGGGUUUAUCAAGAAGCGGCAGUUGGGUUCGCACUUGGCGACGAGCUUGCCGGUGGCGCUGUCGUAGGUCUCCAUGGUCUCCACCAGGAAGUCUGGCUCGGGGUUGUCGAUGAGCGGGUCAACGCAGCAGGCCGGCUUCCCGGUCCACCCUGGCUGGCAGCUAGUCCCCGGCCACUGCACGAGUCACGAUCCAUUAGACUUCAUUAGCAGUUCACCGCAGGAGUCAUCGUUUGCACAAGAAAGGCUUUCUGUAAAGCCGAAACAAAAGAGAGAGAGAGAGAGAGAGAGAGAGAGAGAGGAAUUAGGUACUAUGAGAGACAGGAUCAUGUAGUCGUAUGAAGCAGCUGCUAGCGCACAAGAGGCGGCACACAAGAGGAAGCAGAACGUGGGAAGAGCCUUUGAGCCAGCCAUUCUGCAGAGGUGGGGAGGAUGAUCGGGGGAGA
This 11691-nucleotide long non-coding RNA is filed under the name Musa acuminata (dwarf banana). Its description in RNAcentral is "long non-coding RNA (MACU_LNC005041)". Lineage: Eukaryota; Viridiplantae; Streptophyta; Magnoliopsida; Zingiberales; Musaceae. The record is from RNAcentral.